RNAcentral lists this ribosomal RNA (480 nucleotides) under uncultured bacterium. Its description in RNAcentral is "partial 16S ribosomal RNA". It matches the Rfam family "Bacterial small subunit ribosomal RNA", at positions 28 to 507 of the family's 1533-position model. The record is from RNAcentral.
GAUGAACGCUGGCGGCGUGCUUAACACAUGCAGUCGAACGAAGCACUUUAUUUGAUUUCCUUCGGGACUGAUUAUUUUGUGACUGAGUGGCGGACGGGUGAGUAACGCGUGGGUAACCUGCCUUGUACAGGGGGAUAACAGUUGGAAACGGCUGCUAAUACCGCAUAAGCGCACGGCAUCGCAUGAUGCAGUGUGAAAAACUCCGGUGGUAUAAGAUGGGCCCGCGUUGGAUUAGCUAGUUGGUGAGGUAACGGCCCACCAAGGCGACGAUCCAUAGCCGACCUGAGAGGGUGACCGGCCACAUUGGGACUGAGACACGGCCCAAACUCCUACGGGAGGCAGCAGUGGGGAAUAUUGCACAAUGGGCGAAAGCCUGAUGCAGCGACGCCGCGUGAGCGAAGAAGUAUUUCGGUAUGUAAAGCUCUAUCAGCAGGGAAGAUAAUGACGGUACCUGACUAAGAAGCACCGGCUAAAUACGUG